Long non-coding RNA from Lolium rigidum, 1478 nucleotides. RefSeq lists it as uncharacterized. Lineage: Eukaryota; Viridiplantae; Streptophyta; Magnoliopsida; Poales; Poaceae. The record is from RefSeq and is a predicted model, not a curated record. The transcript is spliced from 5 exons.
GUCAGGUACUCAAAUCAAGAAGGAGAUGGACGAGGUGCUUUGCUUGGGACUGCUAGCUCCUCCAGAGAUCAGAUGCUGUCUUAUCACGAUGACAAGAUGUACUGUCCAUGCUAAUGUUUUUCAUCGUGAUUUGAAGCCAAGAAUAAAUUUGGAUUAUGUUGCUACUAGAUGGUAUAUAUAGGGCUUAUAUUUCCAUGGUCCAAAGAUCGUUCCUCAAGAUCGCGUGGUACUAAAAGUUGAUAUACAUGUCAAAAGGUGGCACCAGGACUGCUACAGUUCAUUCCACACCAAUUCCUCCAAAAGACCAGAAGCGUUCUAAAGUUCCCUUAAUGAUGAACAAAGGUAGUAGUUGAUAUACGUGUGCAGGUAAAUAAGAAGAGAAGAGAAGCAGAAAGGAAUUUGGGAUGAUUUCUUCAAAUUCGACAUUUGAAUCUUUUAGUAUUUCAAGUGGUAGUGUACUUUCAGAAGUUCAAGGAGAAACACUAACAUUGCGCAGUACAGUUCACUCAGUUACUAGCUAAAGUCAUCAACAAUCAGCAUGUGAUGUUAAAGUUUUUGCCAUCAAACUACACCCCCACAUGUUGUUCUAAGAUAUAUAGCAUUUGGGUCUACAAAAUACAAAAGAAGCUUAACUGACACAUUUUUUUUAAUCUGCUUAGGAGAGCCUGGACUGAGAUGGAAGUUGUUGUCUCGUUGAGAACCAAUCGUAGGACCAAUUUCUCUUACCAUUCUGUAAACUACCAAUGAGGUUGUAGGUCUCGAUAUCUUAUCUUGGAUAAGAUGUCUGGAUCUUUGUACUCUUGCUGUGCUGACAAUCUCCAGCGGUCCAACUCAAUGAAUUAGCACGAUAAAACUUUGACUACCAGACUUUUUGUAACUGAUCCAAGAUUGAUGAUGGGAUAUUACUUGUAUAAUUUUCCUUGAUGUUUACUGGGUUGAUGAAUUAUGUUAUUGCAACUUUUUCUGAACCAUGUCCACUAUUCAAUUCUUAACACUCAGCUUCUUAGGGUAUCACUGUAGUCUUGAACCAUGACAUUUUAUAUUUAUCGCAUCUGUUUUGACUAGCUUACAGAGAGUGGUAUUUAGCCAUAGGACUGUAAACAGGUAGUUGUUUCAUUCGUUGUAGACUUAAGAGCAAUCAAAUGUUGUUUCUUUUGGAAAUUUGAAAUAAAUGAAAAUAAAUAUUCUUUGGAAUGGAUGGUUCAGUUCAACAAUUAUUUUCAUUAGGUUCCUGUGAAAGCUACUACAUACUAAAGUAUCAUCAAUCUAUGACAGGUUCAGCUGCACACUUUUACUGACUGUUGUGCUUUGGUGUUUUCAUUGAACCAGAUUGCAGUUACAUAAAUCAAGCUUGUUGCUGGAAAGCCAACUGGUAAAGUCUCCCGAAGUUUCAAUCUCAAGCCCAUCUAGAAUUUUGCGUCGAGAUCCUGGUGUACAAGUUGGGCUAGGAGGUUCAAGUUUGAAAACCAACACCAAUG